GUAAAAAUUUACUAUUCUCUAUUGCCAGUCUAUUCCCCGGGGCGUCGAUGUUAUCCUUAAGUAACAAGUUUUUAUUUUAUUAAAAUCGGUUUUUAUUAAUAGCAAUUUUUCACAUUAGACUGAAUUGAGUUAAAUAGGAAUGUAUAUUAAUUUGACUACCAUUAUGGUACAGUGGUGUUAGUAGUCGCCUAAACGCUGGAGAUCAUGGGUUUCAUUCCCACUAGGAGCAGAUUUGUAUUUGUUCAAAUAUUUGUUUCUAGUCUGGGUUUGUGUCACACUUGAUGUUUGUUACCUGAAAGCAGGAAGUUAUACGCCAAUACAAUACUUUGCCGAGUUGUAGGAUGUUUACGGGACGAUUCAUGUCAGUAUUAUACGGUACUAGUAAUAUUCUUGUCGUGCGAGUAAUAAAUCUUACCAUUACACUCAUUACAGUUUUAGAUUUUAAUUUCAGAAUAGGUAUCUUUUUGUUAUUUAAAUAACCCAACAAAGUUAUCCUUUAUGUUUUAAUUAAAUUAAAAAAAUAUAUAUAGACUAAGAAUUUACUCAUUUUCAUUAACCAUACAUACCAUUAUACUUACGUAUCAAUUCGUUGUGUUGUUUGUUUUUUUUCCCAAAUGGUAAACAAAGUAUCGGCUUGUGCGAUCGUUAUUGAUCAUUUGCUGAAAGUAGGUAGUCGUUAACAAGCGUUUCAGUUGAAAAAAUGUUGGGCAUGGUUUCCGGUAUGGGACUAUUUGUUUAUUUCCUCAUUUGGUUAACUCAGAAGUUGGCGCAAUUGCCGAGUCCGCCGCCUCCAGAUCUCGAACCAACCCCUCCGCAUGACCGGCAUAUGCCACCGCAAGAUGUACAAUAUUGAUAAAUCUGCAUUUAAACUCGACAUAAAUGUCGACAGUUUUUAUUAAAAGAAUAAAUAACUGCUAAGAUUUA
Melitaea cinxia (Glanville fritillary) is the source of this 924-nucleotide long non-coding RNA. RefSeq lists it as uncharacterized. The transcript has 2 exons. Lineage: Eukaryota; Metazoa; Arthropoda; Insecta; Lepidoptera; Nymphalidae. The record is from RefSeq and is a predicted model, not a curated record.